AACGAACGCUGGCGGCAGGCUUAACACAUGCAAGUCGAGCGAAGACUUCGGUCUUAGCGGCGGACGGGUGAGUAACGCGUGGGAACGUGCCCUUCUCUACGGAACAGUCCUGGGAAACUGGGUUUAAUACCGUAUACGCCCUUUUGGGGAAAGAUUUAUCGGAGAUGGAUGAGCCCGCGUUGGAUUAGCUAGUUGGUGGGGUAAAGGCCUACCAAGGCGACGAUCCAUAGCUGGUCUAAGAGGAUGAUCAGCCACAUUGGGACUGAGACACGGCCCAAACUCCUACGGGAGGCAGCAGUGGGGAAUAUUGGACAAUGGGCGCAAGCCUGAUCCAGCCAUGCCGCGUGAGUGAUGAAGGCCCUAGGGUUGUAAAGCUCUUUCAGUGGGGACGAUAAUGACGGUACCCACAGAAGAAGCCCCGGCUAACUUCGUGCCAGCCGCCG
Molecule: ribosomal RNA, 443 nt
Filed under: uncultured bacterium
Lineage: Bacteria
Description: bacterial SSU rRNA
Rfam family: Bacterial small subunit ribosomal RNA
Source: RNAcentral